This is a long non-coding RNA of Dreissena polymorpha, 2586 nucleotides long. RefSeq lists it as uncharacterized. The transcript has 2 exons. The record is from RefSeq and is a predicted model, not a curated record. Lineage: Eukaryota; Metazoa; Mollusca; Bivalvia; Myida; Dreissenidae.
GGUUGCAAUAUCGAAACAGCUCAUGCCGAAGUCAAUACAUGAUACCGGAUAAAACAAUAUUGACUGAUACAAUUUUGAUCAUUUAGAGUGUGCUAUCUCUAACGAUCGGAUUUCAUGUGAACCAAAAGGCUGUGUGCUAUGCAUGUAUCAGUCGGAAAUAUUUACGUUUGAAUUCAUAUCACAAAAUGAUGUUGCAUCCAGUCGAAUGAAGAUGGCAUCGAUGCUAUAAUCUGCAUGGCACAUAGAAGCAUUAAUCUAUGUUCUUGAAUUCGUAGAACGUACAUACAAUAACACUGUCCAAACACUGUGCCAGUCCUUUGAGAACAUGAAUGCUGAGGGUUACAAUCAAACAGACACGACAAGUGAAAACACGGCACUGCGUGUUACCUUCUCGAAGGAAGAGGCUUAUUGUCUCCCGCCAGUGUUAGUUUUGCAUCUUUGGGUCCCAUUGCAAGAAGGCUGGCAUAACGCUAGAGAAUUUGACCUGAUUCUGGAAAGGCUUCUAGCUAUACAAAGCGAUACAUGCACGGUCAUUGUUGUAUUAUUUGCAGUAUCUCACGUAUGGCUCUCUCAGAUCACGGGACAACAAGUUGGGGCAUUGAGCAAAUUUGUAUACUUUGUGUUAAAUCCCCCGUAUAACAUCACAAACAUAUAACGUAUAUCCUACUUGGACAUUGUUGGGAAAUGGUAGGGGACGUUGAAAUUGCCGAGAUGGCGUAUCGCGAAUCUGCUGCACUUAGUCCUGAGCGCAAUUCAGCCUUAAAACAUAUUCGAAGGAUCGAAGAAUUAUUGAAUGCUUGACAUAUUUUCGCGCUAUAGUUUGUGAAGUAAAGAAUAGUUUGGGUUUAGUAAUGGUAAAAUUUGAAUCUAUAUAUCUGUAUGUUGUUUUUUAGUUUGGUUGCACUGAAUAUGAUAUUUAUGUUGGUUUCCAUUGUUCGUGAUCUGAAUGCAUUAUGCGAGUGUGACAGAUAAAGAUUGACUCUUUAAACCCUCACAAUAAACAAUAAACAUAUACAUGUUAUGCUGUGUAUUUGUGGGAAGCACUCAAACCUAUGUUACCGUACAACGCGAAAUGUUCGUUUAAAAACACCCAAACACAUUGCUUCAUUUUACACGUUUAUAAAGAUAAAUCCCUUCAAAAUCGACCCCAUGGACCCAAUUUAGUAAAUGUUUUGUUAUCGUUGUUUUCUUCUUCUUAUUAUUAUCUAUUAUUUGUUAGUGGGUGUGCAGGGAGGUGAAAGGGUUUUAAAUACAUUUAAUUUUUCUGACAAAAGUAAAGAAGCAGCCCAUGCAACUGUAUUUAUAUGAAAAGUAUGUUAUAUUGUUUAAUGUUUAAUUGUUUGACUCGUUUUAUAUUGCAUAUUUUGUCUUGGAAAUCGGAUUGAUGUAUAACUCAUGGAAAUAUUUUCUUGAUUGAUAUUUUCCACGCUUAUUGUUGCGAAUCUUUGUUGUGAACAUACUUAUGACUUAAAUGUUUAUGUUCAUAUAACCAACUUGUCAAUACUUGGAAUGUUUCUUAAUUUGGUAUCAAUAAGGUCAAGUGAAAAAGAUAAUAGUAAGCACUAUUAAAAAGUAUAUUUAACUUUAAGUUACAGUCUUAACUCUAACAAACUAGGCGUACGUCUUGUCGUUUUGGUAUGUCUAAGAACAUUGAAUACCCUAUGUGGGAUAGAGUGAGUAUAUUUGUCUGAUUUUGCAUACGGAAAAGAUUGAAGAGUUUAGAAGGCUCACUCCCUGUAGGACUAAGUGUUGACAUUACGGUGUUCUAAGUGCUCAUAUUACCGUAACACGUCAUUGCGAUUGUUAUUUACGCACACAGAUAAUGGUUUAAUUGAUAUAGUCUACAUCGCACUCGUGUAUUACAAUAUUGCAAUUUGUAGAGCAUUUAAUUUUGCGUUGCCUCAAAUUUUGAUAUAAAUAAAAUAACAAUUGUUUAGUCGGGGGUUGUCGCCAUGAUUGUCUUCUUUUCUGUUUACUAUAAUAACAUAUCUGGAUACCAUAGCAUUCUCACCAACAUACACAUUGAACGACAUGUCAUGUAAAUGUCUUAUAAAUACAAGCCAAUGUUAUUUUUGCAAUAAAGCAAGUACGAAUUUUAAAACUAACAUAUUAUUGUGUCAUCUAUUUGUAAUGUUAAUAUUUAAAUACCCAUGUGCAAUUCAAAUAAACUAAACUUGUUAUAUUUAGGGUAAAACAUGUUCACAUUACAUUCAUUAACGCUUGCUUAUCAUUCUCUAUAAUAAAGUGAUCGUCGAUUAUUCAUAUUAAUAUUAAAUCUUUAUCAACUAUUUUACAUGAACUUACACCGUGUUUGCAUUAUUUGCAGAUUGAAGCUUUAAGAGCACGGCGAGACUUUAGACACAAAUUUCGGGUUUCGUCAAGCCUUUUUAAUUUACUUUGCAUAUGUAUCUCUAGCAUUUUUUUACCAAGUGUAGUAUGUGGUAUGAAUAACAAUGAACGUUAAUAUGCUUUUUUGCUUAUAACGUGUUUGGAUGAAGGCAGUACGCUGGCAUUUUGUGUGUACAUAGCGAACAGGCAGACAUAUGUAAGCAUCGCACAAUUUAUUAAAUUGUUGUUAGCAAAACA